AUUGAACGCUGGCGGCAGGCCUAACACAUGCAAGUCGAGCGGAUGAAGGGAGCUUGCUCCUGGAUUCAGCGGCGGACGGGUGAGUAAUGCCUAUGAAUCUGCCUGGUAGGGGGGGAUAACGUCCGGAAACGGGCGCUAAUACCGCAUACGUCCUGAGGGAGAAAGAGGGGGAUCUUCGGACCUCACGCUAUCAGAUGAGCCUAGGUCGGAUUAGCUAGUUGGUGGGGUAAAGGCCUACCAAGGCGACGAUCCGUAACUGGUCUGAGAGGAUGAUCAGUCACACUGGAACUGAGACACGGUCCAGACUCCUACGGGAGGCAGCAGUGGGGAAUAUUGGACAAUGGGCGAAAGCCUGAUCCAGCCAUGCCGCGUGUGUGAAGAAGGUCUUCGGAUUGUAAAGCACUUUAAGUUGGGAGGAAGGGCAGUAAGUUAAUACCUUGCUGUUUUGACGUUACCAACAGAAUAAGCACCGGCUAACUUCGUG
Molecule: ribosomal RNA, 484 nt
Filed under: uncultured bacterium
Lineage: Bacteria
Description: partial 16S ribosomal RNA
Rfam family: Bacterial small subunit ribosomal RNA
Source: RNAcentral